Molecule: long non-coding RNA, 249 nt
Organism: Penaeus chinensis
Lineage: Eukaryota; Metazoa; Arthropoda; Malacostraca; Decapoda; Penaeidae
Exons: 3
Source: RefSeq, a predicted model, not a curated record
CAGUGUGCUAGUGACAUGACGAAUGCUGCGUCACUAGGGUGGAGUCAGUGAAAGAACCACCAUGAGCAGCAAACUGGACGACCUCCUAACUCACAUAGGAACAGGAAGAUGGAGUUACCUGCACACCAUCACCCUUGCAUACUCCUUUUCCCUCCCAGCCUACCAAGCUCUGGCCGCCGCAUUCAUAGCCCCUAAACUGGAAUUCUCCUGCCAGCACCCCGGUGGUGAUGCCGCUUCGCCCAACGUCAC